Molecule: non-coding RNA, 444 nt
Organism: Paramormyrops kingsleyae
Lineage: Eukaryota; Metazoa; Chordata; Actinopteri; Osteoglossiformes; Mormyridae
Source: RefSeq, a predicted model, not a curated record
CACCGUCUAGCCAUCCAAUUUCAUAUAUUAUGAAGGUAAAACACCAUUUUGCCAUCCUAUUUCAUACAUUAUAAAGGUAAAACACCAUCUCGCCAUCCUAUUUCACACAUUAUGAAGGUAAAACACCAUCUAGCCAUCCUAUUUCACACACUAUGAAGGUAAAACACCAUCUAGCCAUCCUAUUUCACACAUUAUGAAGGUAAAACACCGUCUAGCCAUCCAAUUUCAUAUAUUAUGAAGGUAAAACACCAUCUAGCCAUCCUAUUUCACACAUUAUGAAGGUAAAACACCAUCUAGCCAUCCUAUUUCACACACUAUGAAGGUAAAACACCAUCUAGCCAUCCUAUUUCACACACUAUGAAGGUAAAACACCAUCUAGCCAUCCUAUUUCAUACAUUAUGAAGGUAAAACACCAUCUAUCCAUCCAAUUUCACACAUUAUGAA